Molecule: small RNA, 628 nt
Filed under: Histoplasma capsulatum
Lineage: Eukaryota; Fungi; Ascomycota; Eurotiomycetes; Onygenales; Ajellomycetaceae
Also listed under: 1 other name
Description: hypothetical RNA
Source: RNAcentral
UAGCGGUUGCGAUUGGUUUGUUGGUUUUGGUCUGGGCGCGGUGGCUAUGGGAAGCAAAAUCGAAGGAAUAAUGCUCUGGAAAAAGCAGAACUUAUUAGCAACUACUGGGAGGUGGCUCAAUAUUUCUUUCUUUCUUUCUUUCUUUCUUUCUUUCUUUGGGAGUGGCGGCGCAUCUUGGAUCAGCGCAGGUCUUCGCGACCCAUCAGAUGUGGCAGCAGAACUCAGGUUUUGGGAUAUUCAGAAGUUCAAUGAUUACGCUUCUGGAAGCCAUACUGCGGAUUCUGAAUGUGGUGGAACAUCUGAAAGGAUGGUGGUGAGCGAAAUGCAGGGGCUAUUCUUUGGGGAUAGAUCUCCUUAACGCUCGUUCGAGAUAUCUCUUUUAAUGAUAAUAACGGCUCAGCAUGACGAAGACAAAGGCGCCGUAAUUAGCGUGCACUGUGCGCAUUGUGAUAUGUAUAGUUUAUUGCAUUUGUACAGUAUGUCAGUGCGUUCUUAUUUCUAGAGUAUGGAUAUAUGUAUAGCGAGCGCAUCAUAUUUAGCCAUGACAUGCCUGAUCAUUUGAGGAGAGGGAUAUAAUCGCUAUUACGUGAUGCGUUUAAAAUGGAAUUGGUAAUUGUUUAUUGCUGAU